GGCCUAUAGCUCAGUUGGUUAGAGCAUCUGACUCAUAAUCAGAGGGUCCAUGGUUCAAAUCCAUGUGGGCCCACCC
RNAcentral lists this transfer RNA (76 nucleotides) under Chitinophagaceae bacterium. RNAcentral's name for it is "tRNA-Met". It matches the Rfam family "tRNA". From Rfam's summary of the family: Transfer RNA (tRNA) molecules are approximately 80 nucleotides in length. The record is from RNAcentral. Lineage: Bacteria; Pseudomonadati; Bacteroidota; Chitinophagia; Chitinophagales; Chitinophagaceae.